This 497-nucleotide ribosomal RNA is filed under the name uncultured bacterium. RNAcentral's name for it is "partial 16S ribosomal RNA". It matches the Rfam family "Bacterial small subunit ribosomal RNA", at positions 28 to 507 of the family's 1533-position model. The record is from RNAcentral.
GAUGAACGCUGGCGGCGUGCCUAAUACAUGCAAGUAGAACGCUGAAGCUUGGUGCUUGCACCGAGCGGAUGAGUUGCGAACGGGUGAGUAACGCGUAGGUAACCUGCCUCUUAGCGGGGGAUAACUAUUGGAAACGAUAGCUAAUACCGCAUAAAAGUCGAUAUCGCAUGAUAUUGAUUUGAAAGGUGCAAAUGCAUCACUAAGAGAUGGACCUGCGUUGUAUUAGCUAGUUGGUGAGGUAACGGCUCACCAAGGCGACGAUACAUAGCCGACCUGAGAGGGUGAUCGGCCACACUGGGACUGAGACACGGCCCAGACUCCUACGGGAGGCAGCAGUAGGGAAUCUUCGGCAAUGGGGGCAACCCUGACCGAGCAACGCCGCGUGAGUGAAGAAGGGUUUCGGAUCGUAAAGCUCUGUUGUAAGAGAAGAACGAGUGUGAGAGUGGAAAGUUCACACUGUGACGGUAACUUACCAGAAAGAGACGGCUAACUACGUG